UUACUUUGGCAGAAUAGUGUGUUUGAUUUAGAAUCAUUUUAAGUAAGUUUUU
RNAcentral lists this transfer RNA (52 nucleotides) under Lycostomus sp. UPOL MK0146. RNAcentral describes it as "partial tRNA-Leu". Lineage: Eukaryota; Metazoa; Arthropoda; Insecta; Coleoptera; Lycidae. The record is from RNAcentral.